Molecule: ribosomal RNA, 473 nt
Filed under: Phlyctema vagabunda
Lineage: Eukaryota; Fungi; Ascomycota; Leotiomycetes; Helotiales; Dermateaceae
Description: eukaryotic LSU rRNA
Rfam family: 5.8S ribosomal RNA (bases 164-317)
Source: RNAcentral
CAUUACAGAGUUCAUGCCCUUCGGGGUAGAUCUCCCACCCGUGUCAUCACACCUUUGUUGCUUUGGCGGGCCCGCCUCGGCCACCGGCUCCGGCUGGUGAGCGCCCGCCAGAGGACCCCAAACUCUGAAAUUUAGUGUCGUCUGAGUACUAUAUAAUAGUUAAAACUUUCAACAACGGAUCUCUUGGUUCUGGCAUCGAUGAAGAACGCAGCGAAAUGCGAUAAGUAAUGUGAAUUGCAGAAUUCAGUGAAUCAUCGAAUCUUUGAACGCACAUUGCGCCCCUUGGUAUUCCGGGGGGCAUGCCUGUUCGAGCGUCAUUACAACCCUCAAGCUCUGCUUGGUAUUGGGCGUCCCCGGCGACGGGGUGCCCUAAAAUCAGUGGCGGUGCCGUCUGGCUCUAAGCGUAGUAAAUCUCUCGCUCUGGAUGCCCGGUGGAUGCUCGCCAGAACCCCCCAUUUUUUACAGGUUGACCU